This 374-nucleotide ribosomal RNA is filed under the name uncultured organism. RNAcentral's name for it is "partial 16S ribosomal RNA". It matches the Rfam family "Bacterial small subunit ribosomal RNA", at positions 527 to 896 of the family's 1533-position model. The record is from RNAcentral.
GUAGGUGGCAAGCGUUGUCCGGAAUUAUUGGGCGUAAAGCGCGCGCAGGCGGGUCCUUUAAGUCUGAUGUGAAAGCCCACGGGCUCAACCGUGGAGGGUCAUUGGAAACUGGGGGACUUGAGUACAGAAGAGGAAAGCGGAAUUCCAAGUGUAGCGGUGAAAUGCGUAGAGAUUUGGAGGAACACCAGUGGCGAAGGCGGCUUUCUGGUCUGUAACUGACGCUGAGGCGCGAAAGCGUGGGGAGCAAACAGGAUUAGAUACCCUGGUAGUCCACGCCGUAAACGAUGAGUGCUAAAUGUUAGGGGGUUUCCGCCCCUUAGUGCUGCAGCUAACGCAUUAAGCACUCCGCCUGGGGAGUACGGCCGCAAAGGCUG